ACACCUCAGCAAUUACAUAUUGUAAUUAAUACAAAAUUGAGGUUAUAAAUUUUUAAAAAAUUCUCAAAUAAUAUAUAGGGAUUCCAUAAAAUAGUUUCCAGUUACACCCUAUAUGUUUCUCCGGCAGCAGAGAGGAAGAUGUCAAUGUCAUGACCGAGUUUGAAGUAGAACUCUUUUAAGAGUAGAUAAUACAUCAGACAUAUUUGGCUUCAAC
Molecule: long non-coding RNA, 214 nt
Filed under: Brassica napus (rape)
Lineage: Eukaryota; Viridiplantae; Streptophyta; Magnoliopsida; Brassicales; Brassicaceae
Description: long non-coding RNA (BNAP_LNC024666)
Source: RNAcentral